AGUGAACGCUGGCGGUAGGCCUAACACAUGCAAGUCGAACGGCAGCACAGUAAGAGCUUGCUCUUACGGGUGGCGAGUGGCGGACGGGUGAGGAAUACAUCGGAAUCUACUUUUUCGUGGGGGAUAACGUAGGGAAACUUACGCUAAUACCGCAUACGACCUACGGGUGAAAGCAGGGGAUCUUCGGACCUUGCGCGAUUGAAUGAGCCGAUGUCGGAUUAGCUAGUUGGCGGGGUAAAGGCCCACCAAGGCGACGAUCCGUAGCUGGUCUGAGAGGAUGAUCAGCCACACUGGAACUGAGACACGGUCCAGAGUCCUACGGGAGGCAGCAGUGGGGAAUAUUGGACAAUGGGCGCAAGCCUGAUCCAGCCAUACCGCGUGGGUGAAGAAGGCCUUCGGGUUGUAAAGACCUUUUGUUGGGAAAGAAAAGCAGCAGGUUAAUACCCCGCUGUUCUGACGGUACCCAAAGAAUAAGCACCGGCUAACUUCGUG
Molecule: ribosomal RNA, 492 nt
Filed under: uncultured bacterium
Lineage: Bacteria
Description: partial 16S ribosomal RNA
Rfam family: Bacterial small subunit ribosomal RNA
Source: RNAcentral